RNAcentral lists this non-coding RNA (52 nucleotides) under unclassified sequences. The record is from RNAcentral.
UGCUUAAUGCAGCCACAGCCUGUCACAAGCCAGGAUAAAUGCAGAGUGAGUA